CCACUCCAAACCUGCUAUUUAAAAACAAAUAUGGAUAAUAUUUCAAUGCCUAAUAGAAGUAUUUCUGUUUCUUUGGCUGGGGUGCUAACAUCAAGCUCUUUGUGCUUUUAAAAAAUACUUGAAAGUCAGGAAAUUGUAGAGCUGACCGGCUCAUUGAAGGUCACCUAAUAGUUUAACAGCAAUAAGUUCGAAUGGGGCAAGCAUCUCAUCCAGUCAUGUAAAGAUGGCAGACUGGGUGGGUGGUAGGGUUAGACUGCAGAACUGGGCCUCAGAAACAGUCAUAAAUUAGCCCUCUUACUGGAUUAAACAGUUACAAUAGCCUCUCAUGAUAAUUUUUUCAUUCAGUGAAUGUUUAGUGUCUUUCCAUCUCCCUGCUGAGGGUACAAAAUGGUUAAAGGUGUUGUGAAAAGUCCAAAGUGUCUGUCUGGGGGAAAGAGGGAAGCAGGUGAAUUCAGCACAGGUUGGGAGAUACAAGGGAGGAGCCUGGGACUGGAGAGCUGGGGUGCCCGGUGGAAGGUGCUCCCUCCUACCUUGAGGGGAUGGGCCUGGGUUUGCCUCUCCGGCCUCAUCGGCCGCUCUCCCUGUUACUGGCCUUUCAGUCCCCUCUCCAUACCAUGCUUUUCUUCUCUUAGGACUCUCAGACCCUCUUCCCUCUGCCUCCCUUACCUCCAAGCCUCGCUGAUUACCCCCCACUCACGCUGUUAUCCACUCUCCGCUCUCCCCCACCCUGUGCUCUGCUUCUUCACAUCGCUUAGCACAGCUGUUAGUAAUUACUUACUUGCUAUCCCCUAUCUUCGCCCCCAGAAAAUGCUUUCAGCUGUAGUGCGAGUUUAAAGCAAGUGGCUCCAACAGGUGAGGGGGGUUUGUUCUUAGAUAUAAAGGGGCUUGGAGGUCAGUGGAUGUUGCAUUCUGUGUGCUAGUCCUCAGUGUCAGGGCCUGGGUCUGUGGGGUUUUCUUAUCUUUUUCCCUCACGGUUGUAAAAGGACUGCUCCGACUUCCAGCACCGUGGCUGAAGGCUGGAGGGAGGGGAUGGCCCUGGGUCAAUUCCCUUUCAUCUGGGAAGCAAACUUCGCACCUCCCUGCCACCCCUGCCUGCCCCCACCAGCCUGCAGUGCAUUUCCGUGUGUGCAACAUGGGCCAUCUCUAGCUGAAACCAGCUUCCCAGCCAUGGUAACCAAGAUACUUCCAAAGUGCAGUCAGGCUGAGAACCGCUGAUCUUGUUUAAUCCUCAAUGGUGAGAAAAUUCAGAGCUGGAGGGUGAGCUGCUCAAGGUCACACAGCAAGUUCAGAUAAAGCUAACCUAUGUCAUGAAGCAGAGUUCCUCAAGUUGAGGGACGUAUCCUAUCCUCUUGAAGAAUAAAACUGCUGUGGACUUCUUGUAUUGACUGAAACUAUUACAGUAUUACUUAAAUUGCUCAUUUUUCUUGUAUUAUGUUAUUUAGUAUGCACAGAGUAUGUUACUUAGCGUGCACACAUGUAUUUUAUGCUUAUAACUUGUGCUAAAUAAAAUCAAAACAAAUGUAGAAAUUAAAUAUGACAACACCA
Long non-coding RNA from Bubalus bubalis (water buffalo), 1545 nucleotides. RefSeq lists it as uncharacterized. The record is from RefSeq and is a predicted model, not a curated record. The transcript is spliced from 3 exons. NCBI's taxonomy places the organism in Eukaryota, Metazoa, Chordata, Mammalia, Artiodactyla, Bovidae.